UUCUCCUUUCUGCAGUUUCGUAUUUGCUGAACAUUAGUAAUUCUCAUUCAUAAUAUAUAUAACCAGUCAUUUGAUGUACAGAGAGUAAUCAUGCUGCUUACUGGGGUCAGGGCAGUGUAGAUGUAUAGCCCAGUUAAUUCAUGAAUGUAAUUCAAUAUGUAAAGCCAGCUGUUCUCACUGCACACACCGAGUUCAAGUCAGUUAUGGUCUUCAAAUGCGCAUGAUGAGUAAUUUGACAGUGCAACCGACCACAACACUCACAUUUCGCAACUUGGAUGCAUGUUCACAUUAUAGAUCACCCUCCAUCCUUGCGCUAGAACAUGCCAUCUAGUGAUGUUAGCAUGUAUAUGCAUCGACGCAGUCCUUCCAGGAUGAUGUUAGCGUUGUCCUCGUGCUUGUAUCGCAUCUCUUCUUCAGACUCAAAAUUCUUACCACGUAACUUACCACAAUCUUGAAGAAAACUAUUCCUCUUACCAUGCUAUGGUGUUAAUAUACGGCAAUGAAAGGACAUCAUUCAAAUUCUAACAUCAUAGCAGUAAAAAUAAAAUCUAACCACCAUCAUACAAACUCUCUUUGCAGAAUAUGAACUCUCCUCUCACCAUCCACACCUUCAACUGAAAAUGUUAGACAUGUUAUAAAGACAUGUCUUCAUACAUUUAGCAAUCAUUAUGUAAGCUCGCCGUGAGCAAAAGAACUUUCACACCAGCUAUGUGGGGUGCAAGUUAAACAGGUCACGUCCAGACCAAAGUAUAAGUUUUGCUUUACAUGCAUGUAACUAUCGCUGAACACACAUCAGGAAUUUGGGGACUGCCAUAGCAGCAUCUGGCAUGACAGCUAUCACCGGCUCGAAGUAUCAAAAUAUAACCUAGGGGUCGUCAUCAAGAGUUGCAUCUUCAGGAUCCAACUACCUUCGCGAUCACCUCUAACUUGUCAGAACUGCACCUCCGAGAUCAUGAAAUCAGGCACCUCGGGGUAGACAUGUGACCACUGAUUGCGAAAAAUAUGUAAUCAACUCCACCUAGCUUUUAUGCAGUGCUUCAGAUUGCCCCGCUUUGUUCAUCAGAUCUAUCAUUUUCCAUGUAAACAGUAUGUAAACCGUUUUCCACACAACCACAUGACACAGAACAUAUUUUUGUAAUUAAUUCUAUGAUUCCUGCUAUUUUCCAUUUUUUACUUCAAAGGUGUUUCAAUGUUUUAUAUUCAGUAAACUAAAACCAAACUUAAUUGCUUUUACAAGAUGGAUAAUCCAAUCCCAUUUGUUAUUUCAAGUCACAGUGUCUCCACUUCAGAAGUACAAUUUCAACAUAUUUGCUUGAAACACCAGGCUGGAGGCUAACAGUAAGAAAUUCAAGACGGACACAACAUACUUAAUAUGCCGUCAUAAUACAGAAGCUGCCUCUAGUUGUCAGAUGUCCAGUUUACAAUGGUUUCACCCAGUUGAAUUAUACAUUCAAUUAUGAAAACCAUUCCAAGUGUUAAUUAACACGUUACAUCUACCUAUGCUUCACAUGUCUAUUAACCACAGUUGCCUACAGCAAUCCAUUCUGAAAAUGCAAUUUGAGCAAGACCACUCAAGCACACUAUUUUAAAGUGGGCAAUUAGACCAAUCGAUUGCAUUAAAAACUGUCUGUCUCAACCUUAUAUAGAAUAGGGUUUCUAGUCUGUACUCAAUGGAAGGUACAUGUUCAAAUAGAGAAACUGACCUUUAAAACUGCCGGCAAAGUAAGCUUUCAUAGAAUUAAAAACUCUACUGCUGCAUUGCAGCCAACGUUUUUCUAAGUUAUUUAUGAGUGUACCAAUCCUGUUGUAGUGUAACAAUAACUACAAAACAUCAUUCGGUUGUAUUAUAUAUGAUGACUUGAUGAGUAGUCCCAAUGCAUCAAGAAACAGAAAACAAAUACCAAAUUAUGGACAGCUUGACACAUUCUGUCAAAUUGGUACUCCAGCCCACACUAACUCCAUUACUCAUAGCAACAAACCAAUGUUAAUAUAAUUAUGUAUUUUAAUUCAGGGACAUGGAUACUGCAUGUGUAACCUAAAUUGCAGACCUGCGCAACCUCAUAAUUUUUGAAGUGCGGUAGUACAAUUUAUUUUCCAGCUGCAUUAUCUAUGCCAUCCCCUUUCUAACGACAUUUACAGCCUUAGUUCAUGAAGGUUCAUAUGUUCAUCACAGUUUAUAAAUUGUACCUAUCCGCAUUUUAACUAUUUCAGAAAGUUUCUAGGCUAGCUGCUCGUCCCGGGGUAAACCAAAUUCUAAGAUGAACAGCUACAAGUAUUAUGCUAGCCCCCCUGUAAUGACAAUUGCAUUUUGAGUUCUACAAACUCCAUAGCUGAUUAAGAGCAUACCUUCGCAUUCAUCCUGGAGCUUUUGGGUCCAUCUGACCAAUUGACUGUUCGCAUCAAAUAUCUUAAUGCAGUAAGCACGCAACACCCAAAGCAACUCACUCCCUUUUCACGAUUUGUCAGUCAUGUCUAUAGUUUUCCCACAAAUUCGAACACUGAUGAUGGAAUCAAGCAGUUUUACACCUACUGCUUAUUCCACCCGGGCGCUUGCGGAUUCAUCUUGCCCAUUGACAGCUCC
This 2581-nucleotide long non-coding RNA is filed under the name Triticum aestivum (bread wheat). RNAcentral describes it as "long non-coding RNA (TAES_LNC025975)". The record is from RNAcentral. Lineage: Eukaryota; Viridiplantae; Streptophyta; Magnoliopsida; Poales; Poaceae.